This 72-nucleotide transfer RNA is filed under the name Ovis aries (sheep). It matches the Rfam family "tRNA". Rfam says of the family: Transfer RNA (tRNA) molecules are approximately 80 nucleotides in length. Their secondary structure includes four short double-helical elements and three loops (D, anti-codon, and T loops). Further hydrogen bonds mediate the characteristic L-shaped molecular structure. tRNAs have two regions of fundamental functional importance: the anti-codon, which is responsible for specific mRNA codon recognition, and the 3' end, to which the tRNAs corresponding amino acid is attached (by aminoacyl-tRNA synthetases). tRNAs cope with the degeneracy of the genetic code in two manners: having more than one tRNA (with a specific anti-codon) for a particular amino acid; and 'wobble' base-pairing, i.e. permitting non-standard base-pairing at the 3rd anti-codon position. The record is from Rfam by way of RNAcentral. Lineage: Eukaryota; Metazoa; Chordata; Mammalia; Artiodactyla; Bovidae.
UCCCUGUUGGCUCAGAUGGUAAGGUGCUUGUUUGCAAUGCAGGAGACCUGGGUUCAACCCCUGGGUUGGGAA